This is a long non-coding RNA of Phodopus roborovskii (desert hamster), 820 nucleotides long. RefSeq lists it as uncharacterized. The transcript is spliced from 2 exons. The record is from RefSeq and is a predicted model, not a curated record. Lineage: Eukaryota; Metazoa; Chordata; Mammalia; Rodentia; Cricetidae.
CAGGCCCAGGCAGGGGCCCAGCCAGCCACCAGGGAGCACGGGUCUGAAGGGUCCAGAGCCAGGAGGAGCCAGGUCCUGGGAAGCUCUGCCAAUGGAGGGACUGGUACCAAACAUGGAGACGGGGAUGCUCCUUCCUCCAGUCUUGUCAGCUCCACUCAGCUCAGGAGCCCUGCAGAGCACAGGGACACAGGUGUUUCCAGACCUAACUCUGCAGUGGCUUGUCUCACCCCCUCAGGCUCUCCUGAGAACAUGGCAAUGGGCAGAGAGAACUCCCGCUCCAAGUCAACCCUGCUUCAGAGCACAGGCCUUCGACCCUGUAACUGCCCUGCUGCAGCCAUACAGCCAGCCACACAGACCUUCCCACUCUGUAUUCCUGCAUCCUGUCCCAGGGCAGCUCUGGGCUCUGUCUGGUGAUUCCCAUAGUCACCCAUCUGAAGUAGCUGAUCUGUACCGACUCCAAGGCAGCCAGAGGAAGCUGCUUGCUUUGAACCCAGUAUGGAGAGCAACAAGAACGCUAUCCCUUACUUCCUGUGAAAACAGUCCUGUGGGUUCAUGACUCAAUUUCAGGGUCUAUAGCAAGGGUCUGUGCAGACUGAUCCUGGUUCCCAGAAACCAAUGCGACUGCUCUCCCUCAGGGACCCAGUCUCUACUCUGCCUCCUCACACUCAGCAGAAGUGGAGAGUUUGGCUCUGCUUUGCCUUCAGUGGGGGAGUUCAGACUAGACAACCCAUGGUUUGGAGACAACUGUUGCACUGUUUUACCUGAAUGAAGAUUAUCUUAAGUUAAUAUUGAAGGAAAUAAAAAAAUGGUCAAUUUAAAA